Molecule: ribosomal RNA, 430 nt
Filed under: uncultured Acinetobacter sp.
Lineage: Bacteria; Pseudomonadati; Pseudomonadota; Gammaproteobacteria; Moraxellales; Moraxellaceae
Description: bacterial SSU rRNA
Rfam family: Bacterial small subunit ribosomal RNA
Source: RNAcentral
UGGGGAAUAUUGGACAAUGGGGGAACCGUAGCAUCCAGCCAUGCCGCGUGUGUGAAGAAGGCCUUAUGGUUGUAAAGCACUUUAAGCGAGGAGGAGGCUCUUCUAGUUAAUACCUAGGAUGAGUGGACGUUACUCGCAGAAUAAGCACCGGCUAACUCUGUGCCAGCAGCCGCGGUAAUACAGAGGGUGCGAGCGUUAAUCGGAUUUACUGGGCGUAAAGCGUGCGUAGGCGGCUUUUUAAGUCGGAUGUGAAAUCCCCGAGCUUAACUUGGGAAUUGCAUUCGAUACUGGGAAGCUAGAGUAUGGGAGAGGAUGGUAGAAUUCCAGGUGUAGCGGUGAAAUGCGUAGAGAUCUUGGAGGAAUACCGAUGGCGAAGGCAGCCAUCUGGCCUAAUACUGACGCUGAGGUACGAAAGCAUGGGGAGCAAACA